This 73-nucleotide transfer RNA is filed under the name Strongylocentrotus purpuratus (purple sea urchin). It matches the Rfam family "tRNA". Rfam says of the family: Transfer RNA (tRNA) molecules are approximately 80 nucleotides in length. Their secondary structure includes four short double-helical elements and three loops (D, anti-codon, and T loops). The record is from Rfam by way of RNAcentral. Lineage: Eukaryota; Metazoa; Echinodermata; Echinoidea; Camarodonta; Strongylocentrotidae.
GGCAUGGUGGCUCAGUGGUUAGAGCACCCGCCUCAUGAACGGGAGGUCGUGGGUUCGAUCCCCGGCCGAGUCA